GAUGAACGCUAGCGGCGUGCCUAAUACAUGCAAGUCGAGCGAAUGGAUUAAGAGCUUGCUCUUAUGAAGUUAGCGGCGGACGGGUGAGUAACACGUGAGUAACCUGCCCAUAAGACUGGGAUAACUCCGGGAAACCGGGGCUAAUACCGGAUAACCUUUUGAACCGCAUGGUUCGAAAUUGAAAGGCGGAUUCGGCUGUCACUUAUGGAUGGACCCGCGUUGCAUUAGCUAGUUGGUGAGGUAACGGCUCACCAAGGCAACGAUGCGUAGCCGACCUGAGAGGGUGAUCGGCCACACUGGGACUGAGACACGGCCCAGACUCCUACGGGAGGCAGCAGUAGGGAAUCUUCCGCAAUGGACGAAAGUCUGACGGAGCAACGCCGCGUGAGUGAUGAAGGCUUUCGGGUCGUAAAACUCUGUUGUUAGGGAAGAACAAGUGCUAGUUGAAUAAGCUGGCACCUUGACGGUACCUAACCAGAAAGCCACGGCUAACUACGUGCCAGCCGCCGCAGUAA
RNAcentral lists this ribosomal RNA (515 nucleotides) under uncultured bacterium. Its description in RNAcentral is "partial 16S ribosomal RNA". It matches the Rfam family "Bacterial small subunit ribosomal RNA", at positions 28 to 523 of the family's 1533-position model. The record is from RNAcentral.